GUGGGGAAUCUUCCGCAAUGGACGAAAGUCUGACGGAGCGACGCCGCGUGAGUGAAGAAGGCCUUCGGGUCGUAAAGCUCUGUCAUCAGGGACGAACGGCCGGUGGAGUGGAAAGCCACCGGAUUGACGGUACCUGAGAAGGAAGCCACGGCUAACUACGUGCCAGCAGCCGCGGUAAUACGUAGGUGGCAAGCGUUGUCCGGAAUUAUUGGGCGUAAAGCGCGCGCAGGUGGGAUCUUAAGUCCAUUUUGAAAGUUCGGAGCUCAACUCCGUGAUGGGAUGGAAACUGGGAUUCUUGAGUACCGGAGAGGAAAGCGGAAUUCCCCGUGUAGCGGUGAAAUGCGUAGAUAUGGGGAGGAACACCAGUGGCGAAGGCGGCUUUCUGGACGGUGUCUGACACUGAGGCGCGAAAGCUAGGGGAGCGAACAGGAUUAGAUACCCUUGUAGUCC
This 450-nucleotide ribosomal RNA is filed under the name uncultured bacterium. Its description in RNAcentral is "partial 16S ribosomal RNA". It matches the Rfam family "Bacterial small subunit ribosomal RNA", at positions 354 to 796 of the family's 1533-position model. The record is from RNAcentral.